AGCUGAAAGCUUAUGCUAACGGAAGGACUAACCGCUAAUGGCAUAAGUUGUGAUGGUCUGCAUCAGUGGUACUUGAAUCGUACAAAAAGUCUGGUCGAGCAUGAAGAUGCUCUCACCGUCUUCCUUAAGCAACGGCAUUUUUUAACAGAAGAAACCUACGCUAUGCCGAACUACACCGACGUGUUUGACCUCUUUACACUUGAUGCCAUUGACUUCGAUAUACUAAAGUGUUUCUCAUUGUAAGUGCAUUUGAAUAAUGAUAUUCAAUGAUAAUUGUAUCAAGAUAGAACAUGAUUUGGUACCUUUAUUCACUGAACGGGGUUAAUCAGACUUCUCAAAGGUGAAACCAGAAAUUGACAGGGGUUCGACGAGUUCUUUUGCAUUCAGGGAAGAAGCAAGAAAGGGAAUACGACACUUGAACAUUGAUUAAAAUUUCCGUGCCACUAAUAGCCACCAAGCAAACAAUGUGGUUUCUAUGUUUGCCGCCGUAUGCAACUUAUCACGGAAUAUAAUAGCGAUCCAAUGGUUUGUUAAUCUCCAACUAUUAUUUUACCCUUAAACCUAAUCCAU
This is a long non-coding RNA of Phragmites australis (common reed), 570 nucleotides long. RefSeq lists it as uncharacterized. NCBI's taxonomy places the organism in Eukaryota, Viridiplantae, Streptophyta, Magnoliopsida, Poales, Poaceae. The record is from RefSeq and is a predicted model, not a curated record. The transcript has 3 exons.